Molecule: long non-coding RNA, 1661 nt
Organism: Ursus maritimus (polar bear)
Lineage: Eukaryota; Metazoa; Chordata; Mammalia; Carnivora; Ursidae
Source: Ensembl
CAAUUAUUGGUCACGCUACAGAGAGGAAAUGAGGGUGAGGCCAUGUGGCCCUCUGCAAUUGCCACUUCCUUUUCCAAGUUCCCAAGCCAUCUGUUAAAUAACCCAUUUGUGAAUGUUCCUGGGCACCGAUGUCAAUCUCUCUGGUCUGUGGUCUCUAGAAUCUCUUUAAAAUGUGUGUAAAUAGCUUAGGUUGGUAGAGAAACUAGACCAAGUGUGGAAAUGUCUGUAAAAGCCCCAGACGAUGGUCGUGACUACUACUGUAUUGUUUCUGGAUCAUUUCCCUGUAGUCUCUGGACACCUCGUGUUCUGGCUGCAAGCACACCAUCUGGUUUGCCAAGGACCUUCUUCAAAUGAGGCCCCUGAAACUGAACGUGGAACUUCAAGCAAGCUCUGGCAGAGCUGGGACCAUGCCCGAGACCCGCAGACCCAACACAGCCUUACAACUGGGUCAUAAAUGAGCAGCAGAGGCAAGAGCAGAGGCAAGUCUCCUGCCCCACGAGGACAACCAGAUUCACCUGCAGCAUCCCGUGGUCUAGCAGGUGGGAGGAUCUUGCUUGUGUAGCAGCAGCGAAGAGAAGGAUUCUAGGAAUCUCAGAGGCAAAAGGUUUUCUGCAGUUCACGUUUUUCCGAACCUGUGGUUUCUCUGGUAAGGGGUGUGCGUGUAUGUGUGUUGUGCAGAGGAAGAGAGGAGAAGUAGUGCUGGCUCCAGACUGUAAGGCCCCUGACUCUUGCACAUAUGGUUAUUUCAUGUAUACAUGUUUUCAAGUCUGGCCUUACGUGGCCACAGAAGCAUAAAGAUGCCAAGGAAUGUGGUGGUACCAGGGCUUAAUUACAGGGACCUUUGUCCAGCUGACAUGCCGGUAAUGCGCCUAGCUGCAUGAUUCAGCAGUAAUCCUGCCAGGUUCCCAAAAAAAGCCCCUAUCUGGGAUGACGUAAUGUCUCUCCAGCCCGAUACAGCCAUCCCUGCACACCCACCGCCACACGUUUACCAUCUCCUCUUAGGAGCCACAUUGCCAUCUGUGGGAUCUUCGCUUGCCAUCUGCAUUGUGACAGAUACGUAUUUUAUUAUUUAAAUGGUCUUACAAUGCACAGUGUUGCUAAUCUAGCCCUUCGCGUUUAAAAAUUCAAUAGAAAAAUUAAAACAGAAGAAACUCCGAGCCUCUGGUGGGUUCUAGAUCGGCAAAUCAUGCCUGCAGAAUACCUCCAGUAUGUCAUAUUGGAUAUUUGAUCUGUGUAUCCCAUGAAUAUUUAUACUUUGAGGCAGAGUGAUUGAUUUAAUUUAUCACCGAGAGUUGAGGUGACUGUCUAGACUGGCUCCGUGGCACACGUUGCAGAGCAUGUGAAGAGAAAGCGACUCUGCUCCUCCCCAGGCACUUUGUGGGUAGUUGGCAGAUCUCUUGUUUGCCCACAUCGGAUCCAUCCAUCUCCCCCUUCUUCCUGACUGGACAAGUGCUCAGGGAAGGUGCUCUUAUCCUCAUCUAAACUAAUUUUGGUUUUCCUUGCCCCUCUUGGCUGGGUAGAUCAUUCAUUUUAUUUCAGUUUAUUUCAGUGGGAAAUGAAAGGAGUUCUGCUGGGACUUGGUGGGGGUCGGGAGUUCUGGGCAAGAUUUCUUUCCUGAUAAAAAGAAUAAAUAGCUGCUUUUUUUUUUGAACUCUGGAUGU